RNAcentral lists this ribosomal RNA (460 nucleotides) under uncultured bacterium. Its description in RNAcentral is "bacterial SSU rRNA". It matches the Rfam family "Bacterial small subunit ribosomal RNA", at positions 340 to 789 of the family's 1533-position model. The record is from RNAcentral.
UACGGGAGGCAGCAGUGGGGAAUAUUGCACAAUGGGCGCAAGCCUGAUGCAGCCAUGCCGCGUGUAUGAAAAAGGCCUUCGGGUUGUAAAGUACUUUCAGUCGUGAGGAAGGUGUUAAGGUUAAUAACCUUAGCAAUUGACGUUAGCGACAGAAGAAGCACCGGCUAACUCCGUGCCAGCAGCCGCGGUAAUACGGAGGGUGCGAGCGUUAAUCGGAAUUACUGGGCGUAAAGCGUGCGUAGGUGGUUUUGUUAGUCUGAUGUGAAAGCCCUGGGCUCAACCUGGGAAUGGCAUUGGAAACUGGCUUACUAGAGUGCGGUAGAGGGGUGUGGAAUUCCCGGUGUAGCAGUGAAAUGCGUAGAUAUCGGGAGGAACAUCUGUGGCGAAGGCGACACCCUGGGACCAGCACUGACACUGAGGCACGAAAGCGUGGGGAGCAAACAGGGAUUAGAAUAACCCG